Molecule: long non-coding RNA, 902 nt
Organism: Sycon ciliatum
Lineage: Eukaryota; Metazoa; Porifera; Calcarea; Leucosolenida; Sycettidae
Exons: 4
Source: RefSeq, a predicted model, not a curated record
UUGCGCAGAUUGAGUACAUUUCAGUUGAUGUGGGUCUUCGGCCGGAAUCAUUCACUUCGGUGGUUUCUAAAGUCCACCUGUCGAAAGCGACAGUCCAGCAAGCGGUGCAAGCAGCGCAAGCAGUCCCCUUCGGAGUGCAUACCCCAACUGUCCUUGCUGCUGGCUCUGCCCGCAUCUGAGCAUUGGAUGAGAGUCGCUGUGCCCUCAAGAAUUGCGACUGUGCGACGGCCAACUUGACAUGAGUAGGAACUGAAGAUGCGUAGUCAACUAACAGACUACUGCUGCACGGCUUCUGAAAUAGUCUAUAUGACAAUUCGCUUGACUGUUGAACAGCGAUGGUGACAUCCGUAUAGUCUAGGCAGCCUCUGUCGCAGCUCAGAUCAUAGGUGAACUUGAUUCGAGGGUGGACGUUGUUGAAUCGGUCAAUCAGCUCCAUAAGUCGCUGUUUUCCAUGGAUCCAGAGGAUAAUGAUAUCAUCAAUAUACCUUCUAUACAGAAUAAGGCGCAAGGGAUAUGAAAAUAGGAGUGCGCAUCAUGUGGCAAUGAUUCGGACCGCGGACUGCUAUGUUUGCCAACAGGUGUGUCCAGCCUACAACACUAUGUUGCAUUCACAAGUCACUAAUGAUGAAGGAGGAUAAUACAAACGAGUUGUUGGGCGUGCCUGCACCCUUGAACCCGGACCCCGUCAAGCUCUCUAUGACUUGCUCCCCUUGAACUCGAACUCCGUCCAGCGCUCUAUUACUCCCCUCGACUCCCCUUGAACUCCGACCCUGUCAAGCGCUCUAUGACUUGCUCCCAGUGAACUCGGACCCCGUCAAGCGCUCUAUGACUUCGUUAUCAUUCUAGCGUUGCUCCUGUAACUACGCUGUUCCCUCACAUGUCGUCACAUUCUUGGCGUCCAA